GAUGAACGCUGUCGGCGUGCCUAAUACAUGCAAGUCGAGCGAACAGACGAGGAGCUUGCUCCUCUGACGUUAGCGGCGGACGGGUGAGUAACACGUGGAUAACCUACCUAUAAGACUGGGAUAACUUCGGGAAACCGGAGCUAAUACCGGAUAAUAUAUUGAACCGCAUGGUUCAAUAGUGAAAGACGGUUUUGCUGUCACUUAUAGAUGGAUCCGCGCCGCAUUAGCUAGUUGGUAAGGUAACGGCUUACCAAGGCAACGAUGCGUAGCCGACCUGAGAGGGUGAUCGGCCACACUGGAACUGAGACACGGUCCAGACUCCUACGGGAGGCAGCAGUAGGGAAUCUUCCGCAAUGGGCGAAAGCCUGACGGAGCAACGCCGCGUGAGUGAUGAAGGUCUUCGGAUCGUAAAACUCUGUUAUUAGGGAAGAACAAAUGUGUAAGUAACUAUGCACGUCUUGACGGUACCUAAUCAGAAAGCAACGGCUAACUACGUG
Molecule: ribosomal RNA, 497 nt
Filed under: uncultured bacterium
Lineage: Bacteria
Description: partial 16S ribosomal RNA
Rfam family: Bacterial small subunit ribosomal RNA
Source: RNAcentral